This 414-nucleotide unclassified non-coding RNA is filed under the name uncultured Inocybe. RNAcentral describes it as "sequence contains ITS2". The stretch from base 1 to 154 matches the Rfam family "5.8S ribosomal RNA". Lineage: Eukaryota; Fungi; Basidiomycota; Agaricomycetes; Agaricales; Cortinariaceae. The record is from RNAcentral.
AACUUUCAGUAAUGGAUCACUUGGCUCUCGCAUCGAUGAAGAACACAGCGAAAUGUGAUAAGUAAUGUGAAUUGCAGAAUUCAGUGAAUCAUCGAAUCUUUGAACGCAUCUUGCGCUCCUUGGUAUUCCGAGGAGCAUGCCUGUUUGAGUGUCAUUUAAAAUUCUCAAACCCACUUGACGUGGCUUUGGAUGUGGGGGCUUUUGUUUGCAGGCUUUUCUUCUCAAGUCUGCUCCCCUGAAAUGCAUUAGUGGUGUCUGGAGUGGAAACCGCUAGGUGUGAUAAUUAUCGUCUACGCCUUUGGGUAUGCGACAUGAAACAGAUUGUGCUGCUUCCGACACAACCUUUAUGACAAACUUGACCUCAAAUCAGGUAGGACUACCCGCUGAACUUAAGCAUAUCAAUAAGCGGAGGCU